AGAGUUUGAUCCUGGCUCAGAUUGAACGCUGGCGGCAGGCCUAACACAUGCAAGUCGAGCGGAUGAUGGGAGCUUGCUCCCGGAUUCAGCGGCGGACGGGUGAGUAAUGCCUAGGAAUCUGCCUGGUAGUGGGGGACAACGUUUCGAAAGGAACGCUAAUACCGCAUACGUCCUACGGGAGAAAGCAGGGGACCUUCGGGCCUUGCGCUAUCAGAUGAGCCUAGGUCGGAUUAGCUAGUUGGUGGGGUAAAGGCCUACCAAGGCGACGAUCCGUAACUGGUCUGAGAGGAUGAUCAGUCACACUGGAACUGAGACACGGUCCAGACUCCUACGGGAGGCAGCAGUGGGGAAUAUUGGACAAUGGGCGAAAGCCUGAUCCAGCCAUGCCGCGUGUGUGAAGAAGGUCUUCGGAUUGUAAAGCACUUUAAGUUGGGAGGAAGGGCAGUAAGUUAAUACCUUGCUGUUUUGACGUUACCAACAGAAUAAGCACCGGCUAACUUCGUGCCAGCAGCCGCGGUAAUACGAAGGGUGCAAGCGUUAAUCGGAGUUACUGGGCGUAAAGCGCGCGUAGGUGGUUUGGUAAGAUGGAUGU
This 592-nucleotide ribosomal RNA is filed under the name uncultured Pseudomonas sp. RNAcentral describes it as "bacterial SSU rRNA". It matches the Rfam family "Bacterial small subunit ribosomal RNA", at positions 8 to 595 of the family's 1533-position model. The record is from RNAcentral. Lineage: Bacteria; Pseudomonadati; Pseudomonadota; Gammaproteobacteria; Pseudomonadales; Pseudomonadaceae.